AUUGAACGCUGGCGGCAGGCCUAACACAUGCAAGUCGAGCGGAUGAAGGGAGCUUGCUCCUGGAUUCAGCGGCGGACGGGUGAGUAAUGCCUAGGAAUCUGCCUGGUAGUGGGGGAUAACGUCCGGAAACGGGCGCUAAUACCGCAUACGUCCCGAGGGAGAAAGUGGGGGAUCUUCGGACCUCACGCUAUCAGAUGAGCCUAGGUCGGAUUAGCUAGUUGGUGGGGUAAAGGCCUACCAAGGCGACGAUCCGUAACUGGACUGAGAGGAUGAUCAGUCACACUGGAACUGAGACACGGUCCAGACUCCUACGGGAGGCAGCAGUGGGGAAUAUUGGACAAUGGGCGAAAGCCUGAUCCAGCCAUGCCGCGUGUGUGAAGAAGGUCUUCGGAUUGUAAAGCACUUUAAGUUGGGAGGAAGGGCAGUAAGUUAAUACCUUGCUGUUUUGACGUUACCAACAGAAUAAGCACCGGCUAACUUCGUG
RNAcentral lists this ribosomal RNA (484 nucleotides) under uncultured bacterium. Its description in RNAcentral is "partial 16S ribosomal RNA". It matches the Rfam family "Bacterial small subunit ribosomal RNA", at positions 30 to 507 of the family's 1533-position model. The record is from RNAcentral.